CGAAGGGGUUUGGCACCUCCGUCUGUUUGUUUUUAUUUUUAUUCAUCUCCAUGUAUAGUCCCACGAGUAGCGCGAGAAAUAUAUGUCCGCCACGCCAGAGCUCCGCAUUAGCGUGGUAAGGGACGCUUACUGUGGGGGUUGCCCAGGUACCCCACAGGCUCCGUUAACGAUCGAGCAUCUUUUUCACCCCCUCGAUCACUCAUCCCUCGGCACGGGUCGCUUCACGCCUUGGAAUUGGGGUUAUGCCCUACCUUGCUUUACGUGGUGAUCUCGGCCCGGAUCAUCACAACCAUCCUCCAUUAAGCUAAGUAUGCACCUCUUGCGAAAUGAAAUUUCCUAUACAAAACCUAUACAUAAAAAACGUCGCGAAAUGCUCGCGAAAAAAUUUUUCGUUUCCAUUUCGUAAGCGGUACGCAGCUCUCGCGAAAACGAUAACGAAAUUUUCAGUUAGUCGAGACACGGUUCGACAAACGAUAAGUUUCAUAUUACUUCCACGAGAUAGCGCUGCUUUCUAUGCGCUGUCACCACGGCAAGCUUUUUCCUUGCGAAAUAAUGGACAGUGAUAUUAUUCCGCUCGGAGGCUCGCGAAAUUUUGACAGAUUGCGAUAAAAGAAUACAAAAAAAACAAGUCUUGUACAUUUUUUGUAUUUUUUCAUCGCAAGCUGUCAAAACUUGUUUUUAUAGAAUUUGCUUUUGUGGUGUAAUAUUCGGAACUCCCAAACAAACCCGUAUUCAGUCGAUACAGCGUGUGAUUAUACAGCUGAAGAAGUCAGUACCGUGUUCAGUGCAUUGUAAUUUGUAAUAUCGAGCAGCAACCAUAGCGGACACACAUCAUCGAACACCAGCAACAGAAUACCAAGGUCACCAUGGUCAGAGAACGCAGUAAUAAUGGGGCAACAGUAAACAACAUCAAGAUGCUGGUAAAGGACUUUCUCUUUCGAACAAACAUUAUGGAAACCUGAGUGCUUACAUACACUCUGAUGGAAACGUCGUAUCCUCUACACGAACGUGUCCAAUCGCUGUGACUCGUUUGGAAAACAAACAAAAGAAGGCAUUGUUUUUUCCGCAAGGUCGCUCUGAGAAAAAUUUCAGCAAAUUGCAAGGAAUGAACCCCCGGAGGGGUACUGGUGUCGAUUCAGGACGUUUUCCCAUACAUUGUAGCUAUUGAAUUUUGAUACCCGGUCGAAACGAUGGCAAGCGCUGCCGAUAACUGGGUCAAAAAAGCGGAUGGUCAGUAAAUUUCUGUACACGGCGGCUGACAGUCCAGAGAAUGUAUAAAUGUCUAGUUUAUCGGCAAUCGAGCCAGCGAGAAUCGGCUGCACCUGCAGUUUUGAGUUCGAUAGCUGCGAAAAUUCUGACUUUAGCAAGCGAAAAUGGAGAAACAGCUAACCUGGCGGAUGCAAUUUCACUACUGAAAAUUAUUCGCAAAGGUCUGGUAGAAUCAAAGCUGGAUCUGGAGGUGAAGCGAAAGAAUGCUUCUUCCCCGCUAUACUCGGUUAACACUUUCGAAGCUUUGCACAAAAGCAGGAACUGCUUCAGGGAGUCUAUGCUAUGGGUUCCAACGCCCCUUCCUAGAUUCACGAUACGGCUUUACCUACUCUAUUGGCCGAUCUGCCACAGAACAUGAUCGCCAAGUCAAUCGGGAACAGGAAAAAUAGCUGCUUUAGUGCUGGCAAUGCUCAGUCGAUUCGAUCUGUUAAAAAACUAUCCGCAGGUAAUUUGCCUUUCCGCCACGCAUGAACUGGCAACUCAGAAGGAGAAAGUAGCU
Long non-coding RNA from Topomyia yanbarensis, 1768 nucleotides. RefSeq lists it as uncharacterized. The record is from RefSeq and is a predicted model, not a curated record. The transcript is spliced from 6 exons. NCBI's taxonomy places the organism in Eukaryota, Metazoa, Arthropoda, Insecta, Diptera, Culicidae.